UGAAAGACAUGGGUAGUGAGACGUUAGAAUUUGAAGGUCGUAUCACUAUUCUGUUUUUC
Molecule: microRNA precursor, 59 nt
Filed under: Loa loa (African eye worm)
Lineage: Eukaryota; Metazoa; Nematoda; Chromadorea; Rhabditida; Onchocercidae
Description: microRNA mir-71
Rfam family: mir-71 microRNA precursor family
Source: RNAcentral